CGAUAAGUAUCGAGGAGUUUUGCUUUGUUCCGCACAAUGCAUCAACAAUGCCCAAGAUUUAUAAUCCGAAUCUAGUACAUAGGUAUUGUACACUCCUUCAUCUGUAAAAUAUGAGUAUCAUGAUUUGUUAAAUGAUAGAUUUAUAAAAUAUGAAGCAUGUGUUUUUAACAUCUGUGAUUAUGAAUAUACAUCAUAUAUAACAUAAUAUAAUAUUAAUUUCAUCAAAAACUAAUAAAAGUUUAAAACUUGUGAAUUUGACAAUUUGAAGAUAUCACUUUACUAUUUUCCUCUAAAAAAAAGGAGUAAUCUAUGAGAAGAUAAUUAAAACCCUAUUUUUGGAUGGUUAUCAGUAUCAGCUUUCUGUAUCAGUAUCCUUAAUAUAAUUGAAUGAAAUAUAUAAGGCUAUU
Molecule: long non-coding RNA, 407 nt
Organism: Apis laboriosa (Himalayan honeybee)
Lineage: Eukaryota; Metazoa; Arthropoda; Insecta; Hymenoptera; Apidae
Exons: 3
Source: RefSeq, a predicted model, not a curated record